GGGGCCGUGGUCUAGCUGGUCAUGACGCUGCCCUUACAAGGCAGAGGCCGGGAGUUCGAACCUCCCCGGCCCCA
Molecule: transfer RNA, 74 nt
Filed under: archaeon
Lineage: Archaea
Description: tRNA-Val
Rfam family: tRNA
About the family: Transfer RNA (tRNA) molecules are approximately 80 nucleotides in length. Their secondary structure includes four short double-helical elements and three loops (D, anti-codon, and T loops). Further hydrogen bonds mediate the characteristic L-shaped molecular structure. tRNAs have two regions of fundamental functional importance: the anti-codon, which is responsible for specific mRNA codon recognition, and the 3' end, to which the tRNAs corresponding amino acid is attached (by aminoacyl-tRNA synthetases). tRNAs cope with the degeneracy of the genetic code in two manners: having more than one tRNA (with a specific anti-codon) for a particular amino acid; and 'wobble' base-pairing, i.e. permitting non-standard base-pairing at the 3rd anti-codon position.
Source: RNAcentral